RNAcentral lists this long non-coding RNA (1980 nucleotides) under Sus scrofa (pig). RNAcentral's name for it is "lncRNA (ENSSSCG00030058407.1)". Lineage: Eukaryota; Metazoa; Chordata; Mammalia; Artiodactyla; Suidae. The record is from RNAcentral.
UUUUUCUUUUCCUUCUCCUUUUGGAAUUCCUAUUCUGUGUAGUUUGGUCCACUUUAUAUGAUCCCAUAGGUGUCUUAUAUUGCUUUCAUGUUUAUUCAUUUGGGUUUCUGUCUGCUGUCCUGAUUGGAUGAUUUCUGUUAUUCUGUCUUCCACGUCACUAAUUCGUUCCUCUGCAUUAUUCAUUCUGGUCUUUAUUGCCUUUAGCUCAGUUUGCAUCUCUGCAAAUGAGUUUUCUAGGUUUCCUUGACUCCUCCUUACAUUUUCUAGUUCCUUUCUAAGGGAGUCUGCAUUCCUGUUUGUGUCUUCUCUUAAUUCCUUGAUAUUCAGCCUUAAUUCCUUCAGGAUUUUCACUGUCUCCCUUUUGAACUCAGUGUCUGUCAGACUGCAGAGGUCUCUUUCAUUGUUGAUGGCUUUAGGUGACUCCUUCUGUUCCUUUAGCUGGGAAUGGUUUCUGAGCUUCUUCAUCUUGCUUAUGCUUUUCUUUUUCUGUGAGUUUGGGGAAGCCAAACUGUGGUCUUGUAAGGCUACUUCUAAGCAAGAUCACCCCUGUAUAUUUGGGGGGAGGGGUGUUACUCUUUAUUUUUGGUGUAGGAGUUUGAUUAUUUGCUGUCUCUUUCUUUGGAGUGGGCAGCAUUUCCCAGAAUACUCAGUGUGUUUUCAGGGAGAAGGAGGCAGUGGGUAGGGCCAGUGGUUUGUGCCUGGUUGCUGGGCUCUCACCAGCAGCAAGGACCUGCAGGAAGGUGGCACAGGCCACUGCUAGUUGCAGGGCCCUGGGAAGUGGCGAUGAGCUCUAGGCAGAUCUACAAGGUGGCCAGAGCAUUCAGCAGUGGCAGCAGCAGGGUGCGUGAGUUCCCAGGGGAGCGAGAGCAACAGCAGCUUGUGUUUGAUUGCAAUGCCCUCCUCUGAGGUGACGAGAACCGCAGGUGGUGCCUGUUCAGGGACCCCUAGUGGGAGCGGGCCAUGACCAUCUCUGGAGUCAGUGAUAACUGUGGUGGUUUGCCCUGCCACCUGUAGGUGGUGCAUGAAGCAACCCGUCUCACUUAGCCCACAUAGGAGGUGCUGUACAGGCUGCUCCUAGUUAUAGGAUCCUGGGAAGUGACAGAGAUCAGGCGUGUGGGUACUGCCUGUGGCAUUCAGCAGUGGCAGCAGGAGGGCAGGUGUGUUCCCAGGGAGUGAGAGCACCAGCAGGUGGUGCUCGGUCACAGUGCUCUCCUCCGUGGUGCCCUCGAGGUGAAUGGGCUGCAAGUGGUAUGUGUUCAUGGACCCCAGUGGUGGCAAGCCACUCCCACCUCUGGAUCCAACCUGGGGUGGUUUGCCCCCACCUCCUGUAGACCAUGGCAGAAGCACCUUGUCCUGUUUAACUCCCAGAGGAGGUGCUGCAUAAGCUGCUCCUAGUUGCAGGUUCCUGGGAAGGGACAGUGAUGAAGCAUCCGGGCACUGCCCAGAGUGUUUGGCAGUGGCAGCAGCAGGGCGAGUGUGCUCCCAGGGGAGUGAGAGCACCUGCGUAUGGUGAUUGGUUGCAGUGCCCUCUUCUUUUCUUUUGUGUCAACCCCUGAGGUGACUGGGGUCACAGGUGGGGCCCACUCACAGGCCCCCAAUGGUGGCAAGCCAUACCUCCCUAUGGCCUCUGAGAGGACCGUUGCGGUCUGUCCCUGUCAUCUGUAGAUUGUGCAAGAGGCACCAUGUGGCACUUAGCCCCCCGAUGGCCUUGGCCCAAUCGAGAUGUGCCUACCACCAGUAGCCUGCACCAGAAGUGCCCAGUCUCCCUAAACACGCAAGAGGCUUCUCACUGCCCAUAGCCUGUGCCAGAGCUGCUCUGCCCUCUGCGAGCCCGCAGUGUAGGGCAUUUCCUCUGGCGUCCGCCCCUCCUCCUCUCCCUCUUCCCAACUCUGGUGCCUUGCCUCUUCCAGGGGUCCAGACCUUCUCCCCGGUUCCCUCUGCCGUGGUGUUCCCCUCCUCAGCCCGUGGAGUACCACUCCC